UCAGGUUGAACCAUUGUACAGGGAAGCUUUUAAAAGCUUCACGCAUAUGAUUAUUUUAACAUUCAGCAAUGGGUCUAUAGUGACAAAUAGCUACCUCUAUAUGAAUUCUAGUGGGUUAAAGGUUACUGUGUCCAAAGUGAAAAAAACUCUUCUCAAUGGACUUAGUAACUUGACUUUUCCUGUCAUUCCAAACUCCAUCCGUGUCACCCAGACUCUUGGUAAUUCCAUGCCACCAGUGAUUACCAGUUCACUUUCCAUGAUAUGGAUGUCUCUUCUAUCAUUUUUGCUUUCAUGGUCAUUACAUUUCUAGCUCUAGACCACAUU
Long non-coding RNA from Clarias gariepinus (North African catfish), 324 nucleotides. RefSeq lists it as uncharacterized. NCBI's taxonomy places the organism in Eukaryota, Metazoa, Chordata, Actinopteri, Siluriformes, Clariidae. The record is from RefSeq and is a predicted model, not a curated record. The transcript has 3 exons.